This 23-nucleotide non-coding RNA is filed under the name Arabidopsis thaliana (thale cress). The record is from RNAcentral. Lineage: Eukaryota; Viridiplantae; Streptophyta; Magnoliopsida; Brassicales; Brassicaceae.
GAAGUGUCAAUUGGGCUGUCCAA